RNAcentral lists this transfer RNA (73 nucleotides) under Xanthomonas phage XbC2. RNAcentral describes it as "tRNA-Asp". It matches the Rfam family "tRNA". From Rfam's summary of the family: Transfer RNA (tRNA) molecules are approximately 80 nucleotides in length. RNAcentral also lists the same sequence under 1 other name. Lineage: Duplodnaviria; Heunggongvirae; Uroviricota; Caudoviricetes. The record is from RNAcentral.
GGAGCCAUCGUUUAUCGGUUAGGAUACUCCCCUGUCACGGGAGUGGGGCGGGUUCGAUUCCCGCUGGUUCCGC